RNAcentral lists this ribosomal RNA (477 nucleotides) under uncultured bacterium. RNAcentral's name for it is "SSU rRNA". It matches the Rfam family "Bacterial small subunit ribosomal RNA", at positions 26 to 518 of the family's 1533-position model. The record is from RNAcentral.
AGGACGAACGCUGGCGGCGUGCUUAACACAUGCAAGUCGAGCGGUAAGGCUCCUUCGGGAGUACACGAGCGGCGAACGGGUGAGUAACACGUGAGCAAUCUGCCCUUCACAUUGGAAUAACUUCGGGAAACCGAAGCUAAUACCGAAUACGACCACCGAUGGCAUCAUCUGGUGGUGGAAAGUUCCGGCGGUGAAGGAUGAGCUCGCGGCCUAUCAGCUUGUUGGUGGGGUCAUGGCCCACCAAGGCGACGACGGGUAGCCGGCCUGAGAGGGUGACCGGCCACGACUGGGACUGAGACACGGCCCAGACUCCUACGGGAGGCAGCAGUGGGGGAAUAUUGGACAAUGGGCGAAAGCCUGAUCCAGCAACGCCGCGUGAGGGAUGACGGCCUUGGGUGUAAACCUCUUUCACCCACGACGAAGCGAAAGUGACGGUAGUGGGAGAAGAAGCACGGCCAACUACGUGCCAGCAGCCGC